CCAGUUCGAUGCCUGACUUCCGCCUCCCUGUGGGCGCCCCUUGAUGACGUCGCCCGCUGUACGGCAGCGGCUGGUGAUCUGGAUGGCUCGUGACAGCGGCAGUCAGCGUGGCGUUCGGCUCGGCGGGCAGGAUCGCAGGUGAGGGAGUCAGAAUACUGCCGUACUUGGAUGACCUGCUGAUUCUGGCGAGUUCCCACAAUGUCCUCCUCAGUCAUCUACAAUUGACAUGAGCUGCUUACAAGCCCACGGAUGGCUCAUCAAUUGGAAGAAGUCCUCGCUGGUCCCAGCUCAGAGCAUGGUGCACCUAGGGGUUCUCCUGGACACACACAGUCAGAGACUGUUCCUGUCUCCACACAAGGUCCUGAAAAUCCAGGAAAGGAUAAGACACUUCAUCCGUCACCCCAGAGUGUCGAUUCACUCGGCGAUGCAUGUCCUUGGCCUGAUGGUGUAGAUGUUUGACAUGGUAGAGUACGCUCAAUUUCUUUCUUUUUUUAAACAAUUUAUUUCAUUUUAUUUUGUAUCAACAAAGAGCAUUACUUCACUGGAAUAGGGGGUCAACAGUACAAAUGAUUCACAAUGUACAAAGCAUGUCCAGUCACAGAGAAGAACAAAUAGAAAAAAAUUAACAAUUCAGCAAUAAAAUGAUACAGGAAGAUAUAUUGAGUACUGUCACACUGAUAGUAUAGUGUAACGAAGAAGAAAAUCAUAAUAAAAAAAAAUCUCAAAAUACAAAGCACAAAAAUGUCUUACGACAAAUAUGAUAGAGAGAAAAAGUAAUAGUAGAUUUGGGGGGAAAAAAGGAAACCUGAAAAAAAGACGGACUAAGUAAAGUCAGGGAGGAGGGGACCAAUAAGAAAGAGGAGAGGAGCGUGGGGAGGGGUGAAAAAGGAGGGGGGUGGUAUUAGGAGGAGGAAAUGGGUAAGGAAGGGGCACCAGUAGCAAAUAUUAAAUAUGAAAUCUACUUCACUGGGCGCCACUCUAGUUAGGUGCAACCAUAAAUCAAAUGCAACUAUAUUACACGUUCCUUAGAUGUACGUCAUUCGUCCUCCAAUAUAUGUUGUCCUCAAAUUUCAUCAAUUCCGCACAUAUGGAAAGAACAGAAUAAUCAUGGGUAGUACAAUCAAUUUAAUACACAAUACACAUGACAAUAGAGAAAAUUACAGAUAAAAAUAGCAAAGUGCCCUCUACUGUUCCACGAUCAUGUUUGAGAAAGCUGGACAAUUACCAGAUAAUGUGGAGAACCGGUAACAAAACAGUUCUCAACAGUGAUGUUUAUAGUCACCCAAGAAAGUCCACCCAGUUAGGCAAAUCAGCACUCAGAAACAAUACUGGAACCAUGGGGUCUUUGCUGGAUAGCCAACGUGUUUCAACCCUUAUACUAGGGUCUUUCUCAAGGCAGUAUGUUGAAUCCCGCUCCUGAAUUCCUUUAUAAUAGUGCUUUGUCCAAUCAGAUCGUAACUCCAUGAUGUCUGCUUCCCACUCUUUUUACACGUCAUCCCCGGACUUCCGUUCAAUAACCGGCGGUCCCUCCCUGACCUGCUUCCCCCAGGAAGUGCAUAAUCAGAGAGGCCACGUGUCCUAACUGGUGGUCCCUCCCUGAUCCGCUUCCUCCUGGAAAUACGUCAUCAGACGAGGCCGCGUGUCUUGCCCGGAAGUCCCUAGAAAUGCUAUCCUCCCGGAGGAAUGUCCGGCGGAAGUAUGUAGAUAUGUUAUAUCUCGCAAUGUAAACAAAAACACUAAACAUCACUUCCUUUUCAUAUGUAGUCCAUCAAUAGUCCAUUAUAUAUGAUCCAUAUAAUACAGAAUCUAAAAUAGAAUAGUAUCAGAGGUAAAGGAUGGUAACGAGAAAUAAAAAUGCCAACUUAAUUAAAAACAUGAUUAAGACUACACUAGUACAUUGCAGUCAUAAAUAUAAAACUAUAAAAACCAUUUCAAUUCAAAAUCGUUAUUCAAACCAUGCAGAUGCAGUGUAUUACAAUCAUAAAUGCACUGCAUCUCACAUUUAGCCAGACGUGAAGCAAUAUCCCUCUGACGAAGAUUGCAUUUACAUUUAACAAAUUUAAUACCUGCAAAUCUUAGUAUACUUUUGGCAGAGCAAUUAUGGAUUUUUUUGAAAUUAUUAGAUAGUGCAUGAGUUUCAAGUCCCUUUUUUAUGUUCCUACAAUGCUCCCCUAUUCUAAACUAUAGAGCUUGAGAAGUACGUCCUAUAUAAAAAAGAUGGCACGUACAUUCAAUGCAGUAAACGACAUUGCUUGUAUUACAUGUAAUAAAAUCUUUAACAAACAUA
This is a long non-coding RNA of Pseudophryne corroboree (corroboree frog), 2287 nucleotides long. RefSeq lists it as uncharacterized. The record is from RefSeq and is a predicted model, not a curated record. NCBI's taxonomy places the organism in Eukaryota, Metazoa, Chordata, Amphibia, Anura, Myobatrachidae. The transcript is spliced from 2 exons.